CCCCAGGUCAGGCGGGACUACCCGCCGAGUUUAA
RNAcentral lists this ribosomal RNA (34 nucleotides) under Myriophyllum sibiricum. RNAcentral's name for it is "partial 26S ribosomal RNA". Lineage: Eukaryota; Viridiplantae; Streptophyta; Magnoliopsida; Saxifragales; Haloragaceae. The record is from RNAcentral.